AUGACCUCCUCCUUGGCUGAAGAUUCUGCCUUUAUUGGCUCGAAUGUCAAUGUGUUCAACGUUCAGAGAUGCCCCAAACCUCCUUGUGUGCAAAAGCAGGCACUGGAAGAAUACCAACAGAUGUAAGAAGAAUCUCAGUGAGGUAUACUGAUAAAGGAGCGGAGUCUGACAACUGUAUGGUUUUGGAGCACAGGAGUGAAAUCUCUCUGGAAGUCUUGGAAACACCAUGCAUUUCACAACAGAAUUUGCACGGCUUCAUGCAAACGGAAAACGGGCUCACAGAGAAAGAUGUCUGCCCUCAUAGAGCCUGUGCAGAAGAAGGGACAGAAGAAAAAUGAUGCCACAGAAUGAUGGCUCUCAUAUCACUGAACAUACGAAGUCUGAUUUGAUUAAAUUGGAUGCAUAGAAAUGAAAGAGAUAAUUUAACCCUUACGGUGGCAGUUGAAGUGUGCAGUUUUGGUAGAUGCCAGUGUCUGUCUUAGAAACAAUAGACCUGGUCCUGAUCCAGUGGAAGACUCCUGGAGCCUUGCCAUCAGCUGCACAGGGAUCAGAAUCGAGCUCAGCGUCCUGUUUUAGCAAGAGUGCAGUUCAAGGGGAGGAUACUGACAAACUGCUUGAUAUUGUCCCAUUCUACGAAAUUAGAAUAUUUGUCAAUAACUUAAUACUGAAUCCAAUUGGCAUCAGCUAAUUUCUUGGGCAAGCCUGUUACAAUAUUCAGUAUCACUAUUGGAUUUCAAAGGUGUGUUUGCUCAAUUAUUCUUUUCAUAAAAUCCCUUAAUAAGGAAGUCUGCUCUCCAUCUGGUGCUGAUCUUACUUAAGUUACAGUGAGAUUGGCUGCUAGUUCAUUUGUGUACAGAAUAAGUAUAAAAAUUGCAAAUCUGUUAAUAGUGAUAAGUCCAAAAUAUACUUGUAGAUUCUUGAGAAAGUAAACUAUGAACCUUUCAUCUUAAGACACGAGCUCUUUGUAAGAUGAAAAAUUAUCUCACACAUCUAUGGUGCUGCAAUGUCAAGUAGUGAUGCUUGUUUUUUGCAGAUUCCUUUCCUGUUAACUCUUGUUCCAAAUACAGUACUAUAAUACUUGUCAUAAAACUGGUUACACUUAUGACUUUAAAGAUUCUGUUCUAUCCUUAAGGCUGCAUCAGUUACUUUAAGUGCUUUUCAGUGAUGCACUGAGCAAGAAACUAGUAUCUUUCUGUGUUGCUUUCAGUGCCCAACAACAUUUAUAUCCAAUGGUGGGCAUCCAUUUACCGUGAAGCUGCAGUUGCAGGGAAUGCAGUGUACAGACAUCAGGUGAUUUGAUCAAGGCUAUCCAGAAAUAAAUCGUCAUUGUAUAUAGUUUAGGAUUUAGUU
This 1350-nucleotide long non-coding RNA is filed under the name Dromaius novaehollandiae (emu). RNAcentral's name for it is "lncRNA (ENSDNVG00000003761.1)". The record is from RNAcentral. Lineage: Eukaryota; Metazoa; Chordata; Aves; Casuariiformes; Dromaiidae.